Molecule: ribosomal RNA, 935 nt
Filed under: uncultured bacterium
Lineage: Bacteria
Description: bacterial SSU rRNA
Rfam family: Bacterial small subunit ribosomal RNA
Source: RNAcentral
CAUGCAAGUCGAACGAGAGAAGAGAAGCUUGCUUUUCUGAUCUAGUGGCGGACGGGUGAGUAACACGUGAGCAAUCUGCCUUUCAGAGGGGGAUACCGAUUGGAAACGAUCGUUAAUACCGCAUAACAUAAUUGAACCGCAUGAUUUGAUUAUCAAAGAUUUAUCGCUGAAAGAUGAGCUCGCGUCUGAUUAGCUAGUUGGUAAGGUAACGGCUUACCAAGGCGACGAUCAGUAGCCGGACUGAGAGGUUGAUCGGCCACAUUGGGACUGAGACACGGCCCAGACUCCUACGGGAGGCAGCAGUGGGGAAUAUUGCACAAUGGAGGAAACUCUGAUGCAGCGAUGCCGCGUGAGGGAAGAAGGUUUUAGGAUUGUAAACCUCUGUCUUCAGGGACGAAAAAAUGACGGUACCUGAGGAGGAAGCUCCGGCUAACUACGUGCCAGCAGCCGCGGUAAUACGUAGGGAGCGAGCGUUGUCCGGAAUUACUGGGUGUAAAGGGAGCGUAGGCGGGAUCGCAAGUCAGAUGUGAAAACUAUGGGCUUAACCCAUAAACUGCAUUUGAAACUGUGGUUCUUGAGUGAAGCAGAGGUAAGCGGAAUUCCUAGUGUAGCGGUGAAAUGCGUAGAUAUUAGGAGGAACAUCAGUGGCGAAGGCGGCUUACUGGGCUUUAACUGACGCUGAGGCUCGAAAGCGUGGGGAGCAAACAGGAUUAGAUACCCUGGUAGUCCACGCCGUAAACGAUGAUUACUAGGUGUGGGGGGACUGACCCCUUCCGUGCCGCAGCAAACGCAAUAAGUAAUCCACCUGGGGAGUACGACCGCAAGGUUGAAACUCAAAGGAAUUGACGGGGGCCCGCACAAGCAGUGGAGUAUGUGGAUUAAUUCGAAGCAACGCGAAGAACCCUACCAGGUCUUGACAUCGUAUGCACAGCUCA